AUUGAACGCUGGCGGCAUGCCUUACACAUGCAAGUCGAACGGUACCGGGUCCUUCGGGAUGCCGACGAGUGGCGAACGGGUGAGUAAUAUAUCGGAACGUGCCCAGUAGUGGGGGAUAACUGCUCGAAAGAGCAGCUAAUACCGCAUACGACCUGAGGGUGAAAGGGGGGGACCGCAAGACCUCUCGCUAUUGGAGCGGCCGAUAUCAGAUUAGCUAGUUGGUGAGGUAAAGGCCUACCAAGGCAACGAUCUGUAGUUGGUCUGAGAGGACGACCAGCCACACUGGGACUGAGACACAGCCCAGACUCCUACGGGAGGCAGCAGUGGGGAAUUUUGGACAAUGGGCGCAAGCCUGAUCCAGCAAUGCCGCGUGCAGGAAGGAGGCCUUCGGGUUGUAAACUGCUUUUGUCAGGGAAGAAAUCUUCUGGGCUAAUACCCCGGGAGGAUGACGGUACCUGAAGAAUAAGCACCGGCUAACUACGUGCCAGCCGCCGCCGUAA
This 500-nucleotide ribosomal RNA is filed under the name uncultured bacterium. RNAcentral describes it as "partial 16S ribosomal RNA". It matches the Rfam family "Bacterial small subunit ribosomal RNA", at positions 30 to 523 of the family's 1533-position model. The record is from RNAcentral.